UCCCUGAUAGCUCAGUUGGUAAAGAAUCCGCCUGCAAUGCGGGAGACCUGGGUUCGAUCCCUGGGUUGGGAA
Molecule: transfer RNA, 72 nt
Filed under: Odocoileus virginianus texanus
Lineage: Eukaryota; Metazoa; Chordata; Mammalia; Artiodactyla; Cervidae
Also listed under: 6 other names
Rfam family: tRNA
About the family: Transfer RNA (tRNA) molecules are approximately 80 nucleotides in length.
Source: Rfam by way of RNAcentral